Molecule: unclassified non-coding RNA, 284 nt
Filed under: Hevea brasiliensis (rubber tree)
Lineage: Eukaryota; Viridiplantae; Streptophyta; Magnoliopsida; Malpighiales; Euphorbiaceae
Source: RNAcentral
UGUGAAAGUGGGGUUUUUGUAGAAAGAUGCAAGUAUUUAGAAGAAAGCAAAUGCGUAGGCAUUUGUGUCAAUACAUGUAAGCUUCCAACACAGACUUUCUUCAAGGAUUACAUGGGAGUCCCCUUACUGAUGGAGCCAAACUUCACGGAUUAUAGUUGUCAGUUUAAAUUUGGGGUUCUUCCUCCACAACCCGAAGAUGAUAGCACGCUCAAGGAGCCUUGCCUUGAAGUUUGUCCGAUCGCAUCUCGAAGAAGGCCAGUUGCCCAAAGCACAGAUGUAGUGCA